GAGCUGGGGGGCAGGGUCCCCGGUGAAAGCGGUUGGUUUACUGAUGGUGUCCUGUCUUUCCCCCUGCAGGCAUCCCCCCGACGUGAAAGGGUUCCGGAAAUUCAACAUCCUGACGUCCACCAGCAAGACACUGGUCCAGGAUGAUCCGCAGAUGGAGGGGCUGGUCUGCGACUUCCGGCACAUAUCGCUGAAGGACCAGAGGGCCGGGGCCUCGGGCAAAGGCAGCAAAGG
RNAcentral lists this long non-coding RNA (231 nucleotides) under Chrysemys picta bellii (western painted turtle). Its description in RNAcentral is "lncRNA (ENSCPBG00000014037.1)". Lineage: Eukaryota; Metazoa; Chordata; Testudines; Emydidae. The record is from RNAcentral.